AAAUUGAAGAGUUUGAUCAUGGCUCAGAUUGAACGCUGGCGGCAGGCCUAACACAUGCAAGUCGAGCGGUAGCACAGAGAGCUUGCUCUCGGGUGACGAGCGGCGGACGGGUGAGUAAUGUCUGGGAAACUGCCUGAUGGAGGGGGAUAACUACUGGAAACGGUAGCUAAUACCGCAUAACGUCGCAAGACCAAAGUGGGGGACCUUCUGGCCUCAUGCCAUCAGAUGUGCCCAGAUGGGAUUAGCUAGUAGGUGGGGUAACGGCUCACCUAGGCGACGAUCCCUAGCUGGUCUGAGAGGAUGACCAGCCACACUGGAACUGAGACACGGUCCAGACUCCUACGGGAGGCAGCAGUGGGGAAUAUUGCACAAUGGGCGCAAGCCUGAUGCAGCCAUGCCGCGUGUGUGAAGAAGGCCUUCGGGUUGUAAAGCACUUUCAGCGGGGAGGAAGGCGGUGAGGUUAAUAACCUCAUCGAUUGACGUUACCCGCAGAAGAAGCACCGGCUAACUCCGUGCCAGCAGCCGCGGUAAUACGGAGGGUGCAAGCGUUAAUCGGAAUUACUGGGCGUAAAGCGCACGCAGGCGGUCUGUCAAGUCGGAUGUGAAAUCCCCGGGCUCAACCUCGGGAACUGCAUUCGAAACUGGCAGGCUAGAGUCUUGUAGAGGGGGGUAGAAUUCCGGGUGUAGCGGUGAAAUGCGUAGAGAUCUGGAGGAAUACCGGUGGCGAAGGCGGCCCCCUGGACAAAGACUGACGCUCAGGUGCGAAAGCGUGGGGAGCAAACAGGAUUAGAUACCCGGUAGUCCACGCCGUAAACGAUGUCGAUUUGGAGGUUGUGCCCUUGAGGCGUGGCUUCCGGAGCUAACGCGUUAAAUCGACCGCCCUGGGGAGUACGGCCGCAAGGUUAAAACUCAAAUGAAUUGACGGGGGCCCGCACAAGCGGUGGAGCAUGUGGUUUAAUUCGAUGCAACGCGAAGAACCUUACCUGGUCUUGACAUCCACAGAACUUUCCAGAGAUGGAUUGGUGCCUUCGGGAACUGUGAGACAGGUGCUGCAUGGCUGUCGUCAGCUCGUGUUGUGAAAUGUUGGGUUAAGUCCCGCAACGAGCGCAACCCUUAUCCUUUGUUGCCAGCGGUUAGGCCGGGAACUCAAAGGAGACUGCCAGUGAUAAACUGGAGGAAGGUGGGGAUGACGUCAAGUCAUCAUGGCCCUUACGACCAGGGCUACACACGUGCUACAAUGGCAUAUACAAAGAGAAGCGACCUCGCGAGAGCAAGCGGACCUCAUAAAGUAUGUCGUAGUCCGGAUUGGAGUCUGCAACUCGACUCCAUGAAGUCGGAAUCGCUAGUAAUCGUAGAUCAGAAUGCUACGGUGAAUACGUUCCCGGGCCUUGUACACACCGCCCGUCACACCAUGGGAGUGGGUUGCAAAAGAAGUAGGUAGCUUAACCUUCGGGAGGGCGCUUACCACUUUGUGAUUCAUGACUGGGGUGAAGUCGUAACAAGGUAACCGUAGGGGAACCUGCGGUUGGAUCACCUCCUUACCUUAAAGAA
This 1551-nucleotide ribosomal RNA is filed under the name Klebsiella pneumoniae. RNAcentral's name for it is "bacterial SSU rRNA". It matches the Rfam family "Bacterial small subunit ribosomal RNA". Lineage: Bacteria; Pseudomonadati; Pseudomonadota; Gammaproteobacteria; Enterobacterales; Enterobacteriaceae. The record is from RNAcentral.